AAAUUGAAGAGUUUGAUCAUGGCUCAGAUUGAACGCUGGCGGCAGGCCUAACACAUGCAAGUCGAACGGUAACAGGAAGAAGCUUGCUGCUUCGCUGACGAGUGGCGGACGGGUGAGUAAUGUCUGGGAAACUGCCUGAUGGAGGGGGAUAACUACUGGAAACGGUAGCUAAUACCGCAUAACGUCGCAAGACCAAAGAGGGGGACCUUCGGGCCUCUUG
Molecule: ribosomal RNA, 220 nt
Filed under: Escherichia coli
Lineage: Bacteria; Pseudomonadati; Pseudomonadota; Gammaproteobacteria; Enterobacterales; Enterobacteriaceae
Description: partial 16S ribosomal RNA
Rfam family: Bacterial small subunit ribosomal RNA
Source: RNAcentral